RNAcentral lists this ribosomal RNA (253 nucleotides) under uncultured bacterium. RNAcentral describes it as "partial 16S ribosomal RNA". It matches the Rfam family "Bacterial small subunit ribosomal RNA", at positions 524 to 776 of the family's 1533-position model. The record is from RNAcentral.
UACGGGGGGGGCAAGCGUUGUUCGGAAUUACUGGGCGUAAAGGGCUCGUAGGUGGCCAACUAAGUCAGACGUGAAAUCCCUCGGCUUAACCGGGGAACUGCAUCUGAUACUGGAUGGCUUGAGUUUGGGAGAGGGAUGCGGAAUUCCAGGUGUAGCGGUGAAAUGCGUAGAUAUCUGGAAGAACACCUAUGGCGAAGGCAGCUCUCUGGGACGGUACUGACGCUGAGACGCGAAAGCGUGGGGAGCGAACAGG